CAAUAGCUACUUGCAUCAUUAUAAAGGUGAUGCAAGAUCGACUAUGUCGAAUAAAAUUCUAGGUAGAAUUAUGAUAAUGACAUUGUCUGCCUAUGUGUCUUGACCAAAUUACGUGCCAGCAGUCGCGGUAAUACGUAGAAGACUAGUGUUAUUCAUGUUUAAUCGGUUUAAAGGGUACCUAGACGGUAAAUCAAGCCUAAAAAAAAAUAAUUGAAGGGACUAAUUUGCUAGAGUUACUUAUGAGGGGGUAUUAAAGUACUGCUGGUGUAGAGAUGAAAUUCUGUCAUACCUCUUUUCAAUAGAAAAACAAUGGCACAGGUAUAGGCGAAAGCAUCCCCUUAUGUGAUAACUGACGUUGAGGGACGAAGGCUUUGUGUAGCGAACAGGAUUAGAUACCCCAGUAGUCAAAGCAGAAAAUGAUGAAUGUCAUAGAUUAGAUAUAUAAGUUUAUUCUAUAAAUGAAAGUGUAAGCAUUCCACCUCAAGAGUAAUUUGGCAACAUUGGAACUGAAAUCAUUAGACCGUUUCUGAAACCAGUAGUGAAGUAUGUUGUUUAAUUUGAUGAUCCGCAAAAAACCUUACCACAAUUUGAAUAUUUAUAUCUAUUAUUGUUUUUUCUUCUUAUUUUUUAAUUAAAAACAAUAAUUAAGAAGAAAAAUAAGAAAAAGAGGCAUA
This 674-nucleotide ribosomal RNA is filed under the name Evernia prunastri. RNAcentral's name for it is "partial small subunit ribosomal RNA". It matches the Rfam family "Bacterial small subunit ribosomal RNA", at positions 376 to 1045 of the family's 1533-position model. Lineage: Eukaryota; Fungi; Ascomycota; Lecanoromycetes; Lecanorales; Parmeliaceae. The record is from RNAcentral.